UGCAGUCAGUCCUAUCUGCAGCCAAGUUGGAGAUGGCAUGGAUACAAACUAGAUAUCGAGAUUCAUAUAACUGAAGGAGACCUUUUAUCAUUUCCCUAGUUUUUAUUUUAUUUUGCUUUUUCCAUCUAAUGAGUAUCCAUGACAGAACUUGAACAAUUAUGAAUCGCCGAUUGGUGGACAAUGAUGUGUCCCCAUUCGCCAUAGGACGUCUUUAUGUUUCUAGUAAUAAUGUAAUGCGGUAUUUAAAGUAGCUUGACUGUUGAAUGGAGACUUUGAGCUGGCUGUGUGUACACACAGUUAUGAGACUUGAAUUGAAUUCAGUUUCUUUAUAACUUACUGAGAAUCUGACUGGUAUAUUUAGCUUACCACAGGAUAUAUUUAGGCCUUCUUCUAUCAUGCUUUAAUUUAAUUCGGAU
RNAcentral lists this long non-coding RNA (416 nucleotides) under Medicago truncatula (barrel medic). Its description in RNAcentral is "long non-coding RNA (MTRU_LNC003433)". Lineage: Eukaryota; Viridiplantae; Streptophyta; Magnoliopsida; Fabales; Fabaceae. The record is from RNAcentral.